UAGGAAGAAAGACUACAAUCAUGAAAAGUGGCUCACAUGAACACUUGACAACUUAAGAAGUAAAAAAUGUUCUUCAAAUAAGCUUUCGUGGAGAACUAAGCCAGUACAACAAGUUUACAUCAGUACAGUCAGUUCAUUGCUGAAUGCUACCAAUAUGGAUUACACCAUUGUACUGUACUUUGUGGAUGAACAGAAGAUUUUUAACAGUAAAUUUAGGAUUUCUGAGUUAAAGUACCUAUCACAGAUGCCUGAAGUCACUGGCUGAUUUCACCUGAGUGCGUGCUGGAAAUAAAGAUGUAUUUGCAGCGCAAGGUCUGAUACUGCCGCCAAACAUGUUUAAUACUCUGCAACAGUGCUCCUUUUAAAAGCAGCAUUCAGGCAACUCUAAUUUCCCAUUUCUCCAGUUAAGGGACAAAGGACAACCCUGGCACCUCCACUUUCCUUCACCCUCAAAUUCCAGGAAGUAACAGUGGCCAAGAAGUACAUCACUCAAAAUCCCACCUGCCUUUCACUCACAGGACAAUCAACCUACUCACAUCAUCUAAACGUUUUUAAUUCUUUAAAUCAAACUUGCUGUGAAAUUAAUUUCGAAAACAAAAUCAAUAAAAGCCUUUCAGGGGUCACA
This is a non-coding RNA of Chiloscyllium plagiosum (whitespotted bambooshark), 625 nucleotides long. The record is from RefSeq and is a predicted model, not a curated record. NCBI's taxonomy places the organism in Eukaryota, Metazoa, Chordata, Chondrichthyes, Orectolobiformes, Hemiscylliidae.